This 90-nucleotide transfer RNA is filed under the name Pollutimonas subterranea. RNAcentral's name for it is "Pusillimonas sp. JR1/69-3-13 tRNA-Ser". It matches the Rfam family "tRNA". From Rfam's summary of the family: Transfer RNA (tRNA) molecules are approximately 80 nucleotides in length. Their secondary structure includes four short double-helical elements and three loops (D, anti-codon, and T loops). The record is from RNAcentral. Lineage: Bacteria; Pseudomonadati; Pseudomonadota; Betaproteobacteria; Burkholderiales; Alcaligenaceae.
GGAAGGUUGGCAGAGUGGUCGAAUGCACCGGUCUUGAAAACCGGCAGGGGCGCGAGUUCCUCCAGGGUUCGAAUCCCUGACCUUCCGCCA